This 504-nucleotide ribosomal RNA is filed under the name embryophyte environmental sample. Its description in RNAcentral is "eukaryotic LSU rRNA". The stretch from base 97 to 252 matches the Rfam family "5.8S ribosomal RNA". Lineage: Eukaryota; Viridiplantae; Streptophyta. The record is from RNAcentral.
CGUAACAAGGUUUCCGUAGGUGAACCUGCGGAAGGAUCAUUGUCGAAACCUGCACCUUGCAGAAGAAUGCAAUUGCCUUCUUUCAAGAAUCAAAAUGACUCUCGGCAACGGAUAUUUGGGUUCUGGCAUCGAUGAAGAACGCAGCAAAAUGCGAUACUUGGUGUGAAUGGCAGAAUCCCGUGAAUCAUCGAGUUUUGGAACGCAAGUUGCGCCCGAAGCCUUUCGGCCAAGGGCACGCCUGCCUGGGUGUCACGCAUAUGUCGCCCCAUCCUCUCGACACCUCGGGAGUCAUGGGAGCAGAAGUUGGCCUCCUGUGUGCCUUGCGCAUGUGGUUGGCCCAAAAUGCAUGUUCGCGGCAAAUGAUAGCCAUGGCGAUGGGUGGUUGUAAAGACCCUCUGAAAAAGUCGUGCGCUGUUCUUAGCCGUCGGGACAUUCCUUGACCCUAGGGCGUCCUCAGGGCGCGCUCCGACCGCGACCCCAGGUCAGGCGGGACUACCCCCUGAG